UACGUAGGGUGCGAGCGUUAAUCGGAAUUACUGGGCGUAAAGCGUGCGCAGGCGGUAAUGUAAGACAGAUGUGAAAUCCCCGGGCUUAACCUGGGACCUGCAUUUGUGACUGCAUUGCUGGAGUGCGGCAGAGGGGGAUGGAAUUCCGCGUGUAGCAGUGAAAUGCGUAGAUAUGCGGAGGAACACCGAUGGCGAAGGCAAUCCCCUGGGCCUGCACUGACGCUGAUGCGCGAAAGCGUGGGGAGCAAACGGG
This 253-nucleotide ribosomal RNA is filed under the name uncultured bacterium. Its description in RNAcentral is "partial 16S ribosomal RNA". It matches the Rfam family "Bacterial small subunit ribosomal RNA", at positions 524 to 776 of the family's 1533-position model. The record is from RNAcentral.